GCAAAACGCACCGGAUUCGCGCCCUCCCCGGAGUUCUGGCCAGGAGGCUCUGGCUGGAUUCCAGUUGUUACAGAGCUCGCUGGAGACUUCCUUCUCCCUGUGGCAUUUUCCCCGCUCCUCUGGCCGCCGAAGGAGUCCUGUGGUGCCGGGCAGGAAUGGGCUGCUUGGGGACCCAACGAGCUCCCAGAGCCUUUCCUGCUGCUUCCUCUACCCCUGUGUUUCGCUAGGCUCUCGAGAUGGACUCAGUUCCAGAUUGCCCAGCCUCACAUAUUCCUUCAUAGCAACACAAAGGGACUGAGACAAUAUAUAAGUUAACAUCUGCCAUGUAGUGGAGGUUCCAGAGAAAAAGUGAGAGAAGCUGAGUCUGCACCCUCAACAUGGAGGAAAUAAGCUCUCUUAGGACCAAGAACAGAGGACAGAGGAAGGACUCCAGCAUGAUGGGCACCAAGGGAUUUUGGUCCUUCUGAGAAAGAGGAGAGACAGGGUCUUCCUCUUUGCCUAAGCUGGAGCGCAUUGGUGUGAUCAUCGCUCACUGCUGCCUCAAACUCCUGGGCUCAUGCGACCCUCCCACCUCAGCCUCCUGACUAGUUGGGACUACAGAAUUGGUUCCUUCCAGUGAGUUCUUGGUCUCGCUGACUUCAAGAAUGAAGCCACAGACCUGUGCGAUGAGUGUUACAGCUCUUAAAGAUGGUGUGUCCAGAGUUUGUUCCUUCAGAUGUUCAGAUGUGUCCGGAGUUUCUUCCUUCUGGUGGGUUUGUCCUCUCGCUAACUUCCAAGAAUGAAGCCGUGGACGUUCACAGUGAGUAUUAGACCUCCUCAGGUUAGUGUGGACCCAAAGAGUGAGCGGCAGCAAGAUUUAUUAAGAGCAAAAGAACAAAGCUUCCACAACACGGAAAGGGACCCAAGCUGGUUGCCUCUGCUGGCUCGGGUGGCCAGGUUUUAUUCCCUUAUUUGGCCCCGCCCACAUUCCGCUGACUGGUCCAUUUUACACAGUGCUGAUUGGUCCAUUUUACAGAGUGCUGAUUGGUGCAUUUUUACAGAGUGCUGAUUGGUGUGUUUACAGUCCUUUGGCUAGACACAGAGUGCUGAUUGGUGUGUUUUUACAGAGUGCUGAUUGGUGCAUUUACAAUCCUUUAGCUAGACUCAGAGUGCUGAUUGGUGCGUUUUUACAGAGUGCUGAUUGGUGCGUUUACAAUCCUUUAGUUAGAUGCAGAGUGCUGAUUGGUGCGUUUACAAUCCUUUAGCUAGACACAGAGCACUGAUUGGUGCGUUUACAGUCCUUUAGCCAGACAGAAAAGUUCUCUAAGUCCCCACUCUACCCAGGAAGUCCAGCUGGCUUCACUUCUCAAUAUACGCAUUCCCUAUUUAAUUUUCCCAUUUUCUUGCGAUGCUUCUGUGUUUUGGCUUUGUGGAAAUCCAUUCUGCAUGCAAUACAGAACACAAAUUUGGCAAAAACAGUACUGGUGAUCAAAAAGCAGCACUGUUGCAUAAGUGUCUUCUUAUCCUACUAUGCACAUAAUUAUUUUCAAACUAGUCAGUAACUUAGCUGGCUUCCUCAGGCAAAUGCAGCUUUAAUUUAUUAAAAGCCCUGGAAUAUCAUCAGCUGGAAGGAAUGCCAACACAGGUAAAUGAGGCAUUUUUAAACUGACGUUUUCAUUCUUGCCGUGUUGUGCAGGCAAUCUACUCAUUUGAAUUUUUCUCCAAAUGCAUUGAGCUGAAUGGAAAAAAACAAACUUUAUUGGUAACACCCUGAAAUCCACUCUUGGAAAUCUUGAUUGCACCUAAUUCCAAAUCUGUCACUAUAGUUGGGGAUUCAACUGAAAUCCAUUUUCUUCUUUAUAAAGACAAUAACAAGGUAAUAGUUCUGCCUAACAUGAUGUGACUUUCCUGCGAUGGUGAUUUUCCAAAUUUUAAAUGUUUAGAAUUUUAGAUGAUAGGGAUUUAGAUUUUAGAGAUUUUGAUCUUUUAGGAUUUCAACAUUCAGGAUUAUGGCACUCAGUAUUGCGUCCUUUGAUAUUAUGAUCCAAACCCUUUCGCUUCAUAAAAAACUGUGAAACAGCUUUUUCUGUGCAUUAAAAAAAAGUUUCAAGGUGGAGUUUCUUACAUUAAGAGAAUCUUUUUAAAGAAAAUGUGUGGUGGAGAAAUUUUCGAGGAGGACAUCUUUAUCUAAUCAUUUCUAGUAAGCAAACUUUCUCUACUAGGUCAAGAUCUAAGCAAACACACAAAUGUGAACAACAGGGAAAGAACCCAUUGACCUACCAAGACAGGCUGCCAACAGAAUUUUGAAGGCUUGCCAAGAUGCUUUUAUGGAGGUAGAGUGAAUGAGAUUCCGUAAGUGCAAAAUAAUCCUUUUAAGACUACCCAGAAAGUAAUAUAAGUGAACUAGUUAUAUAAGAUUCAGUGAGGACUACCAAAACAUUGGGAAGAAAUGUGGAUUUUAUCAUUCAAGGAAAUAUAAUUUUAUUGUAAGAUAUAAUCUUUGUUUUUGUAGUCAAAUAGAAACAUUCAUGCCUUAAUACAACGUUUGGUAAAAAGAACUGAAGAAGACACCAUAGAAGAUUUUAACAAACAAUGAACUCAUUAGCUAAAAGAUUUGUCAUGAAAUAAUGAUUGAUUUAGUUGUUUUCUAAAAUAUUUCUAGUGCCUAUUAGAUGUUGAAGGAGACUUUGAUCAUGAAGUGUGUUCUCUGAGGAGCUGCUAUUUUUAUUUUUAUAUUUGUUUGAAGUGAAUUGUCCUGCUAAUUCUUUAACAUAAAAUAUCUUCAAUUACAUGAUUCAACAUUUUAAAAAGUGAUUAAGACAGAAGAAUAUGUGCUGGGAUUUAUUUUUGGAUCUUUGAAGUAGCAAAGAGUAGCAGAACUCCUUAAUCCAUAGAGUGGUUAUUUUGCUGUAUGAUGACUCUUGUAUUUACUCCCUGAAUUACCCUUUCCACUAAAAAGUAUUAAUGAGACAUUAGUAGGCUAUAGAAAAAAAUACUUCUGAUCUACUUAGAAAUAUUCAUGAGGUUUUCUCCUGGUGGAUUCACAUCAAAUUUUAUUUUUUAAAACCCCAAGUAUUUUUAUUUGAUGAUUAAUAAGUAAGAUGGAGGCUGGUAGGUGGAAAUCGCCAGCAGGAAAAUAAAAUGCUUUGGCUAAGCCGACAACUGCUACUGUCCUCCUCUGUACAGACUCUCCUGCUGAAGACUCACGGAGGCUUAUUUCAAGUCUUCUUUAGUUCAUUACCUGCAUGUUCAAAUGGAGCUGGUACUGUGACUCACAGCUUUCUGUCCAAGAAUGCGAUUUGUACCUCUACAAAUCUUCUACACCUUCUUCAUCUAGUAAACACUUACUCUACAGGUCUCAUCUCAAAUCUAUUACUAUAUGCAACUAUAGUACAUAAGCAAGCCAUUUAAAAAUGUUAAAGGAAGAUAUGCAUUGAUAUGGGUUGGCUGUUUUCCCACCCAAAUCUCAUCUUGAAUCGUAGCUCCCAUAAUCCACACGUGUCAUGGGAGGGACCCAAUGGAAGGUAAUUAAAUAAUCGGGGUGGGUUUUUCCCAUGCUGCUCUCAUGAUAGUAAAUAAGUCUCAUGAAAUCUGAUGGUUUCAUAAUAUAAAGGGCAGUUCCCCUGCACAUGCUCUCUUGCCUGCCACCAUGUAAGAUGGGCCUUUGCUCCUCCUUUGCCUUCUGCCAUGAUUGUGAGGCCUCUCCAGCCAUGUGGAACUGUAAGUCCAUUAAAUCUCUUUUUCUUUAUAAAUUACCCAGUCUUGGAUAUCUCUUCAUAGGAGUGUGAAAAUGGACUAAUAGAUACAUAUAGGUACACAUACAUGUAUACAUAAAGCCAUUCCAAAAGACUUUGCUUCCUGAAGUUUGUAAAUGUAAACAAAUUUAUUGUACCAUCAUUUAGGUUACUACGUUGCUCACUAACAUAGAAACAAUAUCUAAAAUGGGUACUUAUAGGGUUAUUAAAAUAUAGUAUGAAUAUGGCUACUGGAAAAAAGUCAAAGAUAUAUUUUGAGGCCACUACUCUACGUCUCUUGAUGUUCUCUUGUACACAUUUGAUAUUGCACAAAAGCCAAAAGUUUGGACUCCUUUGAUUAAAGGCAAGGUCAAGUAAUCCUGCUGGUUCUACCUCUCCUCCCAUUUCUUAAAUGAAAGGAUGUAGUCAUAUAAGGUGCUGUUUAGUAAAAUGGUGCCGUGAAUUCAGCAUGAAAUGUCUGGGCAAGUGUUUUUCAAGUUGUCACAUAUAUACUAUAUUUAUCUUCCUCCUUUUCCCUCCUCAACCUCAGUCCCCAUCACCCAGUGUUUCAUAAGGUUUUACUUUCUGUAGCUUAUACUGUAAAACCAGGAGUUCCCUUCCUCCUCUCCCAAAUAUAACCUUUUCUAAUAAUAUUAAUUGCACUUUCCCUAACUAUACAUACCUCCCUGGAGAUUUUGAACUGUAAUUCUUUCUCUCCUCCAUUUUCCUUGAGCAUUUUUCAUCUAGUGGAAUAUUCGGUGGCAAAGCUCUCAUUCUGGAAGAAGUUUAGCCAUGUAAGCAUAGAAGAAAUAAGCCAACAAUGGUAAACAUAGUUAAUGCAUGUAGUUAAGUCUUCUAAACAUGUCACUUGAAUGAUGUCACAUUUUGCUUUUUCAAACUAGGAAUCAACAAAAUGGAGGAACAUUUGAGGUUUGUUAAGAAAUUUCCCUUCUUAGCCAUAGAACUAAGAUAUUUUUAAAUAAAGAAGAUCAUAGUGGGCCAUAAAUGAUGUGCCUUUCUAGGAUCCCAAAAUGUUUUAUUGAUUGAAUUAUAUAGAGAGAUUUAAUGGAACCGUGGUUGAAAAAUGCUUUUAAAGUCUUUGAUCACUGGGAUAUCAAUGGAACAAAUGGGUUAAAACAUUUUCAGAAUUUAAUCAUUUAUCUAGGUAACAGGGUUGGGGGUAAAUGGCGGGAGAGAAGGGGAGGGCCGGGGCAUUAAUGAAUAGUACUCCAUGUAAAAAGAAGAAUUGACUAGUAACAUCUGUACUAUUUAAAUUAACAGGCUGGCAUAUAUUGUUGUGCAGGUUUUGCAUUGCCCAAUUCUUGGGGGGGGCGGCAUUCACAUUUGUAGUCAUUAUGGGUUCCUCUAUUUAUAAUGCCAAUUUUCUAGCAGAUGUUGGUUUAUUGCCUUGAGAAACUGUUAGAUUCCUCUAAUUUUUGCAAAGAUGGCUUUGGGAAGUUGAAAGAUUACCUGAUUACUAUUAGAGAAUCCUGCUACCAAUACAUACUUGUCUUGUAUAAUUUGGGCAAAAUAUAAUAUUCCUGAAUCUUAGAUUCCUUGUUUGUAAAAUGUUUAAAAUAUAUCUAAAUGUAAGAAUUGUUGUAGCAUAUAUAUGUGAGUACAUGAAUGUGGCCGUCACAGCAGCUGUAAGUGGAAGAUAUUAUAAAUAUUGUUAAAACCUUCUGAUGUUUUAUUUUAAGCUGAUAGUUUUUCUUUAUGCUGACUUUACAGUGAGUUUUAAACAUACACUUGAGUUUAUCAUUUGUAUAUAACUACUGAUAGAAAUCUGAUGAAAAACACUAAUAGUAGUUUAUAAAAGAUUUUUUUCAAUAUGAACUUUUUGUUUCCAUUGUGAGAAAUUAAAUUUCAAAAUGUAAUUAUUAAAUGUAUGCCUGACUUUCAAAUGUUUUUCUAUAUCCAGCUAAUUAAAAAUAUUUAUAACGUAGUAGUAGUUAAAUGUCAUGUUCGCCUUAUUAGAAAGAAUGCCUUCAAAUCAGUAUUAUCAUGAUUACCAUUUAUUUAACAUCUUCAGUAUGCAGGGCAUUUAUAAAAUCUGUAGAAAUUAAUUUUCUCUAAAUGCAACAAGCUUUAUGACCAGCACUCACUGUCUAUAAAAGAUGACUUGCUUGGCAGAAGAGGAAACAGUUUCUUCAGACCUUCCAGCCACAGUCAGCCCUGGUGACAUUGCAUAUCAGCUUCUAAAGGGCCUCGCACAUUCCUUGGCUUGUGAUGUCCCUUCCCCAUCAUCAAAGACAGCAACGUUGAGUUCCUGAUAUCAUACUGGCUUUUUUUGGGAAACUUCAGGCUACCAUACCUGCUUCAACUGUAGGAGAAUCUUAGUUCUGGAGAGUUGACCCUCCAGGCGAAGCAUUAGGCUUUGAUACAAUUUGUCUGGUACCGGCUGUAGAUCUGGUUUGGGCCCCAGACUAUCUUCCCUGUCCUCAAGAAUCAAAACCAACUUGGAAUGACUCCUGGCCCACUCAGCACCUUUCCGGAAGCCAGAAGAAUGAAGUGCCACACAUAUCAUCAGAGAGAAUUCCAAGGAAGAGGGAAUGGUCUAUAGUGUCUCAAGCCACAUUAAUCCUUCAAGAACAGUGUUAACUUUCUCAGGCUACUGGAACUCCACUUUUUGGAACUGUUAUAUUUACUGUUGGGGAGUGACUUUGGCACCAAGGAGAACUUGGCUCAAAUGAAUGGUUUUGGAUCACACAUCUUCAUGAUUUGGGAAUGAUAUGUGUGUUUAUUUUAUGAAAAAUGUUAGUAAUGAAGCAUUUAAAAUAUAUCAAAAGGAAAAUCUCCAAGAGUUGGUGAAUCAUGCUGUUGCCAAUAAUAGGCAUGUGACAUAACUGAACAUUUCAUCAUCUUCAGUAAAUAAUCAAGAUGACUUUCGCUCUUGUUGCCCAGGCUGGAGUGCAAUGGCAUGAUUUCGGCUCACUGCAACCUCCGCCUCCCAGUUAUUUUAUCAGUGGAAAUGCUUCAGAUCUUUCUAAAAUGGUGGUGCAGGUCUGCUGGAGUUUGCUGGAGGUCCACUCCAGACCCUGUUUGCCUGGGUAACACCAUCAGAAGCUGCAAAACAGCAAAGAUUGCUGCCUGUUCCUUCCUCUGGAAGAUUUGUCCCAGAGGGGCACCCGCCAGAUGCCAGCCAGACCUCUCCUGUAUGAGGUGUCUGUCAGCCCCUACUGGGAGAUGACUCCCAGUCAGGAUGCACGGGGGUCAGGUACCCACUGACGAGGCACUCUGUCUCUUAUCAGAGCUUGAACGCUGGGCCAGGAGAUCUGCUGCUCUCUUCAGAGUUGUCAGGAAGGGAUGUUUAAGUCUGCUGAAGCUGCACCCACCCACAGCUGCCCCUUCCCCCAGGUGCUCUGUCCCAGGGAGAUGGGGUUUUAUCUGUAAGUCCCUGACUGGGGCUGCUGCCUUUUUUUCAGAGAUGUCCUGCUCAGAGAUGAGGAAUCAUAAGCAAUUAGAUCUUUAAAAUGACUUUACAUUAGCCUACUUUCUUCCCAUAUGUACCAUAUAUAUGGUAUAAUCUGUAUGGGAAAGGAGGCAUUUCAAGGUUUAAAAGAAUAUAAAUUUUGGAUUUAAUGUUUUUGAUCUUAACAUAUUUGUGUCUCAACAGGGAAGACAAUUAGAAAUGUAACAAGAGGGUUCUAUUUGAUUCAUUUAAAAAAUGGAAAGUGGCACCCAGGGUGAGGCUGGCAUGUCAAACAAUUACUGAGAGCAAUGCCACCAUUUGCCUUUGUGUGUGUGUGUGUGUGUGUGUGUGAAUUAGGAUCUGUUUUUUAAUGGUCACUCUAUUUACAUAGUAACAUUCCUUGAAGCAAUAUAUGCAGAUUCAUUCUCGACAUAAGUUUUUUUGCUUUUGCUAAAAUAGUUUUUGCUUAAAAUUACUCCCUCUCUUUUCUGGCUACAACUACUUCCCAUCUUCUCCUUGAUUUUUUCAAUGACUUAGGAAAAGAUUAACAUGAUUUAAGUCCCGUUUCUCAUGACUGUAAUUACAAGACUAGUUUAGUUCCACUUUCUUGUAGACGAAUUCCUACAUUUUGCUGAUGUUUUGGCCCAUUCUUAUAAACUCCACUGUCUGGGGAGCAGGAAGCAUUCUGACAAAUUGUCUCUUUGGGAACAGAAGUAUAUUUUAUUGAGUCAAUUAUCUUGAUAAAUCACGUUAUAUUUGAGUUUUUGUAGUUUUGUGGAUAAACAUUUUUACUUGGAAUCCCUUUGUUGUUCACUGUGUUAGCACCCAUGAUUCAAACAAUCCUUGAUCUUGUCAUUAGUAGUAUAUGUAGAGAAGAAUUCACUGUAGGAAUUUAAGAAGUGACUUUUCAACACAGCUUCUCUAAUACAGUAUUUAAUAUCCCACACAUAAUUCAAAAUAAAAGUAAGAAAUAAAAGUCUAUUGGAAAGACUUAGCACAAAAUUCAGUGUAAGAUUCCAUGUAAGAAAUAUUGAUUAGAACAUAUUCUACGAGAGUCUAGAGAUGAGGUUUAUGUCUCAAAUGUUUGUUUUAAGCUUAUUAGAAAUACCAUCUAUUAGUAAAAAUUACUUCUUUGGAAUGAGAUGAGAAAAUUCUGAAUAUGGACUCAGAUGCCAAAAUAUGUUAAUAGCAUAAAAUACAGACAUGAACUGAGAAGGCGGUUUCACCAAAGACACAAGAGAAAUUAAAUCACAUACAUUUUACAAUGUAAACUAAAAUAGACUAUACAAAAAUACCUUGCUAACAGAGAAAUGGGUCAUCAGUCUGUUGUUGUUACUUUUUUUGUUGCUGUUUCUUAAUGGUUACUUAAUACCUACCUGUAGUGCAAUUAUAUGUUGUAGAAUUCUGUCACAAAAAAAAGGCCUAAACCAACGGGAUGACUUAAAAGAAAAAUAAACAUUUCAAAGAUUCAAGUAAUUUAUCAGGAAAUACUGAAAGUACAUCCUAUAAUUUUUUUUAAAACUUGAAAAUUGCACCUCACAUUUUGUCUGGAGAGUUAGGCAACAUCUGUAUUUUUCAACUUUGUCAGUUAUUCAGGACCUAUUACAGACCACACAACUUUGAGCUUUGAAAGAAAUCCACAGAUAUAUAAUUUAACUCAUUGUGUAGCUAAGGAAAUAGGACUGAAGAAAUUAAUGAUUUACUGGACAUCAAGUUACAUGUAAGCCGAUUUUUAACCUAGAUUUCCAAAUGUCCACUCCAAUGCUUUCACCACUAUUGCCUGGUAGGUAUCACAUAUUAUUAAGUUUGUUUUGUGUUUUAUGGAUUAUAUUUAGCAUAAUUCUGAGACUUAGAAGAGGUUCAAUAAAUGCUUAUUACAUGUAUAAAUGAAAAAUGGCCUGGAGGUAGCAUAAGUCAAUAUUCCAUUUUUCAUCAUAGCUUUCAUCAAACAAAUCUUAUAUUUAUUCCUGGAAUCUAUUGCACACCACAAAUCAAAUGUGCAUAGCAAAUAGAUUUUUUUUAAACCUAGCCCGGCCAAAUUGAUCUUGAACUUCUCCGUGCUUGUUCAACAAUUCUGGUGCAGAGUUUAAAAAACUUGUAGGUUUUAUUUUGAGGUUACAAGUUUCAGUCUGGGACUGAAAAGAUAUAAUAGUAAUCUGCAAAGUUCAAGGAUGUGUAAUUCUGGGAGCUCAGAAAGAAUUCAUAGCUCUUGUUCUCAGGAGCUCUGCAAACAAAGAUGCCAAAGGCAUAUCAGAUUGCCUUCUAAUACAGGGAGUAACAAGUAACAAUGACACAUUGAUUGCUUACUUAUGAAAAUUAUUUCCAUAAUGAUAUAAUAUUAGAAGACAAAUUCAGCUGCCUGACCUGCACAGGAGAUUGAAUUGAACGUAGGGUGUUAAAUCAGAGUGGAGUAGGGUUUGAAAAAACAGAAUAAAAGCAAUACCUAGGAAAACUACUGGGGUAGGGCAGAACAUGAGUUCUGAAAUAAGAAGAUCUGAACUUGAAAUGCUUCUUUACUGUGCAAUGUAGACAAUAUAAUCUGCUGAGCUCAAUUAGCUCAUGUAUAACCUGGAGUGAAGAUGCCUGUCUUGUACGGUUAUUGUAAGGAUAAAACAGGAUUCGGGGGAGAACCAGCCAGUGUAGGCAUUACCCAUUUUUGUGUUGUUUCAAAUAUAUUUUUUAUAUUUUAGAUACGUGUGUGUGCGUGUGUGUGUGUGUGUAUGUAUGUGUGUGUCUUCAUUGCUACAUUGAACAGUUUGACCCUAAGUAACUCACAAAUAGCAUUCUAGAGGUGCUUCAAAAAUACUAAGGAAGUCUAACCUUCUAGAUGUUAAAAUACAACUUUUAUACUGGUUCUACUUGCCUUCAAUGGAAAUUAUUGAAGAAAAAAUCAGCUGGGAAUGAGAAAAUAAUAAAACUGCUUUGAAAUGAUGAAGUAAAGAAAGUAGCUUGGAAAAAACAUGCCUGAAGGCAGGUCACAACUUGAAAUACAGUUACUAUGUUCCAUAAUGGGCAGAGUAAUAGAGUGUGUCUAAAGUACAACCAAAGUAGUCUAGUACACCACAAUAUCACAAUAUCCAGUAGUCCCCCCCACCUCUCUCUUUAAGCUCCCUCUGUCCUUUCUCUCUCUUUUCUGUCUUCUCUCUCUCUCUCUCCUCUCUCUCUGUACACUCUCUUUCUUCUCUCUGACUCCUCCCUCUCCUCUCUGACUCCUCUCUCUCCUUUCUCCUCCACCCUAUUCACAGGUUGGAUAACGUUUCUGAUUUAUUUGACAAAGGAUAUAGCUAUUCAGCUAGAAUGCAUGAGCCACUGAGAGCAAGUACGAAGCCAGUACACCUUGGCGGAGCUUCGUGAGGCCCAUCAGAUUCUCAGGUUGGAAUGCCAGGAAGUGUUGUUAGUGUUAGGAAGAUUCCAUGUGUAAGGCAGGAGCUCACUAGAUCUGAAGAGCUUAACAUAUGGCUGUACCAUAACUCUUUUUCAAUAGGGCUUACAAUGUUCUUUAGGGCAGCAUGUAGAUUUAAUAUUUCUAUUAAAGGGAAUGCUUGCAGACAUUAGGAGCCUCCAGGUUUUUAAGUCAACACAGCAUCAGGACCAUAUUGUUAUCCUGUGAAGAGCAAGGUGGCUGAUUUCUCUUCUUAUAUCCAGAUACAUUCUGGAUAAUCCAUUCCCCACAGUUACAGUCUGACUCUGGAUUUUGGAAUAUCUUUUUAUGAAAUGGAUAGGUCUGAUAAUGAAUUGGGUAAUUGGGUCUUAGGACUAGAAUCUUAAAUCCAUUCUCAAUUUUUAUGAAGUCACCAACCUUUUACACACAUGCUUUAAAAAAACCUGUCUACGAACAGAAACUCACUCCUGUGCUUAUCACCUGAUAGAAGAACAAAACUGAAUAUAAAACUCACAUAAUUUGUAUUGCUCAGUGUAUAACGCAUUAAAAACAAAUUUAUUUUUCUUUGAGGAAACUUUGUACUGCAUUCCCCUUUUUAAGAUCAUCAACUCGUUCCCCCUUUAAAUGCCUAAAUCAACACUAAUUAGAUUCGAGCAGCCAUUUCUUCAUGCUGGCCUUUUAUUUUUGUCCUCUUAUUUUUUCCCUUAACUCACCUAAAUCUUCCUCUCCUUUUUUAUCUUUUCUCCCUUCCUCCCUCCUUAUUGCACAUAAUUCAAAUAUCAAAAAUAUAAAGUUAUUUAAUGAAACAUUGCUUCCCCACUAGCUCUCUACUUUCUCAGUAUAUAUCUUGCCUCCUUCAUUACUCGGGUAAUCACUAUCACUUGUUUCUUUUUUCACUUAUAAAGAAUUUUUAUAUAAAUGCAAACCAAUAAAACAGGAAAUUUCAUUUCGUCUUUUAAAACUACAAGUAAUAACAUAUUAUACACGUUUUAUUCAACAACAGAUUGUAUUCAACCUUCUGCUGUUAAGAAGAGUUGCAAUAAAUAACCUCAUACAUGCAUCACUUCACACAUAUUAAUUAUAUCUCAAGAUAAUUCCUAGGUGUCACUUUGAUAAAUAUUACCAAAAUGCUCACCAAAGAUGCUGUACCAAUUUAUACUCUCAUCAGCCAUAGAUUAAAAUCUAUCCCAAAAUUCUUCCAGUUGAAUAUGUCAUGAACUUUUGGAUUUUUACCAAUCUGAAUGGGAAGAGGGAAACAUGUUUUUUCAGUGUUGUUUAAAUCUGUAUUUCUGUGUUGUGAAUAAGGUUAAAUAUCUUUUAAAAUAUUUUUAAAAAACUAUAUUUGCAUUCCUGUGAACUGUCUUUGCAUAUUCUUUGCCCACUUUUUUCUUUUGGGCUGUUGAUGAUUUUCUUAUCAAGUGGUAGGUCUUUAUAUGCCAGGAAGAUUAAGCUUUUGUGACAAAAAUUGGGAAUAUAUUUUUAAAUUUAGUUUGCCAUUUGCCUUUUUGACUACAUUGAUAAUGUUUAUUUUAUGUGUUGCCAUGCAAAAAUUUAAUUUUUAUGUAGUCAAAUGUAUUCAUUUUUUUCUCCCUACAGCCUCUGAAUAUUAUAUCAUAAUGAGAAAGUUUUUGUUUCUAAACUGAGGCUAUAAAUUAAUUCUUUCAUGUUUUCUUCUAUGAUUUUGUAUUCCAUAAUAAAUAUUUAACUUAUUUAAAUAUUUCUUCUAGGCCAGGUGCGGUGGCUCACACCUGUAAUCCCAGCACUUUGGGAGGCUGAGGCAGGUGGAUCACCUGAGGGCAGGAGUUUGAGACCAGCCUGACCAACAUGGUGAAACCCCGUCUCUACCAAAUACAAAAAGUCAGCCUGGUGUGGUGGCACAUGCCUGUAAUCCCAGCUACUUGGGAGGCUGAGGCAGGAGAAUCGCUUGAACCUGGUUGGGGAAGUUGUAGUGAGUCAAGAUUGUGCCAUUGCACUCCAGCCUGGGCAACAAGAGCUAAAAUCCGUCUCAAAAAAAAAUAAAAAUAAAUAAAUAAACAAAUGUUUCUUCUAGUAUAUAGUCCAUAUUCUGAGAUAGGCACCCAAUUUUAUUUUUUCUCAUUGGCUAUCUAGUUAUACCUACAUCUUGGUAUUAUUAAAAAGUCUAUCUUUUGGAGACUUCCGCUCCUGGGAAGAUGGAAUAGAGGUACAUUUCCCCCUUUCUCUCCCUAAGGAAAACUAAAAUUCUUGGACAUCAUUUGUAAAAUAAACAUGAGAAGACUCUGACAAGCAGAGACAAAGAUAUAAUAAUAAUGUCAUUGGAGCCCUGGAGUGAAGGAUAAAGAAGGCAUUGCUAAAUAAUUAAUUUAAGAAAUAAUGGCUGACAAUUUCUCAAAUUUGUCCAAAGCCAUAAACCUACAGAAUCAGGAAGCUGUGUGUAUUCCAAUUAGGGUAAAUCCCAAAAAACCACACCAAGACACAUGAUUAUCAAGCUUGUAAAAACUAAAAACGGGAAAAAAUCUUGAAAAGACCACAGUUACAUUAUCCCAUUGAGGGGAGACUUCUUAUCAGAAACCAUGAAGGCCAAAGGGGUGAUAUUUUGUUUCUCUCAGAAUUCUAUAACCAGCAAGCAUGUAAUUUGGGCUUUUAGAUAUAUUUAAGAUAUAUUUUAUCACAUUAAGAUGAGUCUACCUAAUACUGUAUUUUAAAAGAUUAUAUUCCAAGAGUGGAUUUUUAAUUGUCAAUCUUUGUGGAACACUUAGUUUAAUGUUGUGGUUCUCAAAGUUUUGGCUUCAGAACAACUUGUUUAUAACCUUAAAAAUUAUUGAGAACCCCAAAGGCUUUUGUUUAUUUAGUCUGUAUCUACCAAUAUCUUCUAUAUUAAAAAUUAGAACUGAGAUACUUAAAAAAUAUGUAUUAAUUUAUUUCGGAAUAAAGAUAAUAAACUCAUUACAUAUUAACAUAAAUUCAUAUAUUUAAAAGUACACUUUUCAAAGCAGAAAUGUCUCAUGAGAAGAUUGGCAUUGCUCUACAUUUGCUAAUCAUUUCAAUGUCUGACUUAAUAGAACACAGCUGGAGUCUCAUGUAUGUUUCUGCAUGCAAUCUGUUUUAGUAUAUUAUUUUGGUUGAAGUUUAUGUAGAAAAUCUGGUUUCACGCAGAUAUAUAGCUACAAAGUACAGAGUAUUUGAAUAGAUUUUUCAGAUAAUUGUAAAUAUCCUUCUUUGACAUGUCACUGAAACUCAACAUUAAAUAUUAAUAUUUAAAUAUUUUUAAGUAUUAACAUAUAUAUGGAAUAUUAAACCAUAUCAAUGAAAUUUUGGUAUUAUGUUACAUUAAAGUCCAUUGUCCAUUUUGUACUUCAAAUAGAUCUUUCCUCUCUUUGUGCUUUUGUGAAAUCACACUUUGGUCAUUUGAAAAAUACAGGUUCACUGACUUACACAGAGUUUCUAAAUAUUGACAUAUUUUAUUAAAUAACAUAAAGGAGGCUUUACUGACAUCAUCAAUGAUCUCAUCAGAAAAAUCUUCGCAUAUUGGAAAACUGAGAAGCUCAAAGUAGUAUAUAGAAUUUUUUCAAGAUUCUAAUUUCUGCUUAGUGUUUUUUCUUUAAGAGGCUCACUUGGUUCAUUUUUGAAAGUAUGUCUCCUAAAUAUGAGAAUCAGAUUAACCAUGGGCUGUCAAUUAUUCUUUCAAGUAAAGAUGGUGCUUCAUGAAAAGAAAAUCUGGUUCCACUUACAGCUGAAACAAUUGUCCAAGUACAUUUCCUUAGGAUAAUUAUCAUUCCUUGGUAUGUAGAAGUAUUCCAUGGACCUCCAUUUUGUUAUACAGAAUUUUGAAAAGACAUUCCUCAAGGACUGAAGUAUAAUAAGGUUAGGAUUUUUAAAAAUUUUUAAUUUUAGUGGGUUUAUAGUAGGUGUAUAUAUUUAUGGAGUACAUGAAAUAUUUUGAUACAGGCAUAUAAUGUGUAAUAAUCGUG
RNAcentral lists this long non-coding RNA (14457 nucleotides) under Homo sapiens (human). RNAcentral's name for it is "HSALNT0367042". Lineage: Eukaryota; Metazoa; Chordata; Mammalia; Primates; Hominidae. The record is from RNAcentral.